UCUAUGCGCAUGAGGAGGUGCGGCGUGGCCCUCUACGGCCACCAUGCGCCCCUCACGUCCCGCAUGAGCGAACAAAACGCGCGCUUCUCUUCUCCUUUCGACGCGGUGGCGGUGCCUGCGAGGUAUGCACCCACGCGCUGGUGUAGCGGUAUCAGGAGCCACCGUAGCAGCUGUUGACACCCUCUGCCUGAGCGGCCUGAAGCCUUGUGGUUGGUUCUCCGUAGCGUUGCCCAUACGCCGGCCAGCUGCGCGCGUGCGGUUCUUUCGGGCCGUGAACGACCGGAGCGCUGCCGCACGUCGCUGGCGCAACGCCGCCUUGUAGCCGGUCGCCUGUCCUUGGCUACGGUUGAGGACUCUUGGUGUCGGCAGGACAGGUCUGUGCCGGCGCUGUGCCGAAGAGACCUGCGGUCAUGAUGACGCUCGUACCACCUCGCUACGAAUAUUGUUGAUGAUGCAGCACAUGUACGCGUGCUACGAGCUCUUUGCGCGCUGGCGCAUGUCUCUCCGUGGCCACAAUCCGCUGAAGACACCCACGCCUUGAAAAGCGUGCGGAUUCAGGAGAAGGCGGAGCGGCAGUGCCGCCGGAGACUCGUAGCAGCGACCCGCCUGCCACAGCACACGCGGGCAGGCCAUCCAGACAGCCAUUUCGUGCUGAGGCAGGUCCCAGAAUCGGCGAACGCGAGCACCGUGCGCACGCGGUGCCAAGCACAGCCAGCAUGGUGUGUCACAUCCAGACAAGACUUGCAGCCGUCAGAAGCACGCGAGCGAUCGCCGAGCGAGGCGCGGCAUGUGCAGCACCUCCUCCAGACUCCACUGUAGAGAGUCACCGCACCACCUUGUGGAGUGCCGCAGCUUGAGGCGGCUAAGGGUGAAGCACGGCAUACGCAGGCAGGAUGUGCAGGAUCUCCGAGGGCCCUGGCCUGUAGCUGGCCUACCUCCCCCCUGAACUCGUCCGGCAUGCACCUAGGCCACCACCCCCUGUUAUCCGCACAGCCGACGCCACCGCCUCCGACCUCGAGCAGGACCGUGGAUGCGGCCCGCAUAGAUCAAGGCGUGCAGCGCACCCGAGUGUCCGUCUGGCGCCGAUGGCGCAGCGUGCGUACGAAGAAGGAACAAGGAAGAACACGAAGAGCCCGCUCGACGCAUGGCCCCGGUUCGUCGGCAAGACGGCUCGCCCGAGACAACGCAGGAUGUAGCCGCGGUGCAACAGAUGCAGGGGUGGGUGCGCUGUGGUUGUAGUUGUGUGUGUGUGUGUGUGUGUGUUGGCUUGUUGCGUGGUGGUCGAACGGGCAAGUUGGAGAAAGCAACGAGGCUCCAUCUGGAGGCACCCAGCGAUCCACUGGUCUCUGGUGUGCAAAAUCCGGUGAAGCUGUGGCAUCCGGUCACCGUGCUUGGCAGGGACGCGAUACCGGGGUGAGAGGCGGGACCAUCGAGUUGAUGAUUUGCAGUGAGCGCAGGUGUGGAAAGACGCCAGUCGGCCCCAGCGGAGCAGCACCCC
Molecule: unclassified non-coding RNA, 1498 nt
Filed under: Leishmania donovani
Lineage: Eukaryota; Euglenozoa; Kinetoplastea; Trypanosomatida; Trypanosomatidae
Description: gene:unknown
Source: RNAcentral